Long non-coding RNA from Acipenser ruthenus (sterlet), 2364 nucleotides. RefSeq lists it as uncharacterized. The record is from RefSeq and is a predicted model, not a curated record. Lineage: Eukaryota; Metazoa; Chordata; Actinopteri; Acipenseriformes; Acipenseridae. The transcript is spliced from 4 exons.
GGUCUGUAUUAAGGCAAAGGCCUGAAGAAGAGACCUAUGUGGUUGCAGACCUGAAAAAGGACACCUCUGGCUUGGCACCUGUUUUGCUACAACAUGUUAUAGAAGGACGGGAUUCCCCUGGGUCCUAAAGCAUGGUCUAUCCCCAAUAUUGCGGUCUAAAGAACAGAAAAAGCAUUUGCAGCUGGUUACCUAUUCUUGAGACUGGAAAGGCAGCAGAAUUAAAUCUGUGCACGAUUUGCUGAAAUUUAUUCCACUGUCCUUUCUGCCCAAGGGAUAUCUUUAAACCCAGCCCAGAUCACAUGGUGAUUUCAAGACUUCCAAAUAUGUAUAUGCCACAUGGGAUGUAAGACAUGAGGGCAUUUCCAUUGUCCGUAUUGCAUACAGACAGUUUCAGAGAGGUCACAACUUGUUUUUCAUUUCUCUGCAGCAAAAAAAAAGUACAAUAGAGACCCGGGCUGACACUCCAGAAAAAACCCCAGUAGCUGCAAGUGCUGCUGGUUCUGUCCAGGGUGAGAUCAAUAGGACCCCUGUCCACAUUCCACGGUUCUAAUGCAAUGUGUUAAGAGAAAUCCAAAGACAGCAUUCUGAAUCACAAUUGAGAGACAUCACACAGGAGUCUCGUUUAUCAAGACAGUGCCUCGAUUCUGUCCAGAGUGUACAUGCUGUCUCAGAAUCUUUCAGAGGUCCACCAGUACCCAUUCAUGUCAAAAAGAAAAUCCAGGGUGACAAACAUGAAGUUAGCUGUCAGUUACUGGAUGACACCAGUGGGUGUUAGCUCAGGUAAAUGUGUCAAGCUGCUGCAACUCAACACUGUUGUGAAUUAAGGUGUCAUGCACUUUACAGACACUUAAAAGAAAUCCAUUUGCAAUACUCCAAACUACAGAUUGAAUCGGAAUUAUACCAUUGAAUUACUUUUGUUCUCUAACAGUAUGUGAAGUCUUCAUACAAAAUAGCAAAUGGUGUAAUUAUAAAUAAUUAUGAGCCUGGGGAAAUGUGUGAAUAUGUGAUUAUUUAAUUUGCAUAUAAAUUGAUUUUGGUGGGCUAGUCAGUGUAUAUUGCACCUUGCACCCAUAUUUUGAGCUAGGAGCAACCGUCUAAUUCUGUAAUGGUUUUUCACAUUACAUUCAAAAUGUAGGAUUCUGCAUAUUUGAAUUGCUUACAUUCAUUUCUUGGUAGUUUAAAUAUUUUUGGGGAGAAAAGCUUACAAACAUGCACUAGGAUGCAUGUAGGUAAGUGUGCUAAUAUACUUUUUAAAUUGAAUGAUUUUUCAGGAUCGCUCCUCAGAGGAAAAUGUGUUUCCUACUACCAGGUCACAUUUGCUUGUGGUAAUACAAAUGCAAUUUUAAAUCCUUCACUACGUGGUGUAUAACUAUUGACAAACAUAAUUGCUUGCUUGUUUUUGCACAGCUUCCCCAGUCCUUAUUAGAGGACAUACUAAUGGAGGAUAUGCCGAGCCAGGGAGACACUGUCUAUCUCAAGCUCUCGCUGGUGUGCAGAUCACUCAGAUUGAUUGUGGUGCUGAGCCAAGGAGACGCUGUCUAUCUCAAGCUCUCGCUGGUGUGCAGAUCACUCAGAUUGAUUGUGGUGCUGAGCCAAGGAGACGCUGUCUAUCUCAAGCUCUCGCUGGUGUGCAGAUCACUCAGAUUGAUUGUGGUGCUGAGCCAAGGAGACACUGUCUAUCUCAAGCUCUCGCUGGUGUGCAGAUCACUGUGAUUGUAAUCACAAUCAUUGUAAUUCUGGAUAAAGUGUCACUUUGCCUGGCUAGAUAGUAGAUUUACAGAUUUAAAAAAAAAAAAAACUAAAAAAAAACUUUGCAAUGGAAUAAAUAUCACUGUGAUUGCUGUUGAGAUUUUGUAAUGAGAAUGUUUUCAAGCAUGUAUAGUAAAACUAUUUUUAAACUAGGUGUCAUGAAUUGGAAUAGAUUUCAUAUGGACUUCAACAAAGAAUAUGAGAUCACAGAUGUCUGGAGAGUGGCACCUUAUUUAAGGAGUACAGUGCUGGAUUUGCUGGCAAUGGACAAAAAGGCAUCAUGAAAUGGUUUUAUAGUGAAAGUGAGCACCCUGGGGUUUGUUCUCAGUUUUGUGCCAUGCAAAGUUAGAAGGUUUUAUGUUUAAAAAUAAUAAUAAUAAUAAAAACAUCUGUAAAUAGUUAUUUCUCAUUUCUUUUUUCAUUAUUUUUUUUUAUAAUCUUUUUUUUUCAAUUUCUUCUCUUAGUGUUUGCACCUUAAGUAUGUAGCUUCUGUUUGUUGCUGUCUUAUGAUUUUGUAAAUGAGUUAUUGCUGUGUUCUUGCUGCGUAGAUAAGGGUUGUGAAGGUUUACAAUAAAAGCUCAAUUUAGGAAAGACAUUUCAUGAAAGCAUAUUUCU